AGAUGAGCAGGCGGUCCGGGAGCACCUCGACCCUUCCCAGGUCGUCGACCUUCUCUGCCAGGGCGCGCAGGUCGUCCGAGGCGAACCUCAGCUC
This 94-nucleotide transfer RNA is filed under the name Streptomyces albospinus. Its description in RNAcentral is "tRNA-Gly". The record is from RNAcentral. Lineage: Bacteria; Bacillati; Actinomycetota; Actinomycetes; Kitasatosporales; Streptomycetaceae.